Molecule: unclassified non-coding RNA, 687 nt
Filed under: Hevea brasiliensis (rubber tree)
Lineage: Eukaryota; Viridiplantae; Streptophyta; Magnoliopsida; Malpighiales; Euphorbiaceae
Source: RNAcentral
UGGUGUUUAUGCUGUUGCUAAGGUGAGGCCACUAUCCUGUUUUAAUAUCUUUGUUGGUCCUGAGAAUACUCAUACAUAAUGACAUUGUAAAGUGCAUGAUGUUUUAGUUUAUAAUUGAAAAUGCUAGACUUUCAAUGAUGCAAUGGAGGGGAGUGAUGACAGAGUGAUGGUAGACCAAGUUAAAUGUCUGAGACCUUUUGUGAUUCUGUGGAGGAAAAUAAAAUCUUUGAUGCUGGAGGCUGUUUGAAGAUAUCAAUCAGGGAAAAAAAAUCCCUAUUGAACAUGAUUUUACUGUUUUGAAAAUAUAAUAUUAGCACAUAAUUGAUUGAAGUAUGAGACUGGUGCAAGUGGCUGUGUUGUGAAUAUUGGAGUCACAUAGCCUGCCAUUGUGAUAUAAUGAUUUGCUUUCUCUGUCUCCAUAAAUAUAUAUUGGAGAGAAAUGCAGUUCCUGGAUGUUGGGUGUUAGUUCAUGUUGGAAGCUAUUUCCAUUAUAAUAUAUAGGAUGGCAUUUGCAUCAGUUGACAAUUUUUUAUCUGUUGGACUCUUUUUGAUACUAUCAUCCUCGCUUUUUUGGUUGAAAAUUUGUCUUAUGUUCUACUUGCAGGCAGAUUGCUUGGAUGAUUUAGCCUGGGCAAUUAUGUAUGAGACAACCAAGUUAAGUUAUCGAGUUUCUGAAGCUGAUGUCAC